Molecule: ribosomal RNA, 253 nt
Filed under: uncultured bacterium
Lineage: Bacteria
Description: partial 16S ribosomal RNA
Rfam family: Archaeal small subunit ribosomal RNA
Source: RNAcentral
UACCAGCACCCCGAGUGGUCGGGACGUUUAUUGGGCCUAAAGCAUCCGUAGCCGGUUCUACAAGUCUUCCGUUAAAUCCACCUGCUUAACAGAUGGGCUGCGGAAGAUACUAUAGAGCUAGGAGGCGGGAGAGGCAAGCGGUACUCGAUGGGUAGGGGUAAAAUCCGUUGAUCCAUUGAAGACCACCAGUGGCGAAGGCGGAUUGCCAGAACGCGCUCGACGGUGAGGGAUGAAAGCUGGGGGAGCAAACCGG